Molecule: non-coding RNA, 1019 nt
Organism: Malus domestica (apple)
Lineage: Eukaryota; Viridiplantae; Streptophyta; Magnoliopsida; Rosales; Rosaceae
Source: RefSeq, a predicted model, not a curated record
CACUGUUCAUUAAUAGUGUCCGGACGGAAAUGCCCUUGCUUCUCUGUUUUCUUUCCGUUUGUCUCGCUUGCUUCAUGCGCCGGAGAGACGUUUUUGCCCCUGUUUUCCACGUGUCGGUCAUCCUUAUUCUCUCGACUUCGAGAGUCUUCUUAACGAGUUAGGGUUUUGUUCCUUCGUUGCCUUUCCUGAUUUCGGCUUUGGUCUUUUCGUUUUGCCCGUUCUUUCUUCCAAUCCUCUGCUUCUCUGUGGUCUCCGUUCUUUGUUUCGCAGAAAGGUCUGCUGAUUUUUGUGGUUUAAGGGACUUUGUGGUUGCCGGGUCGUUAUGCGUCUAUUUACACUUGGGGUUUUUUACGUUCCGAGGGUUUCGACAUCUCUGAUCCAGGGUAAUGAAUUCCUGAUGUUUGCCCCUUUUUUCCGUUUUGGAUUUCUGGGUUGUGGCUAUGAUUUUGGCCGAUUUCCAGCCCUUUUCAGGGGUGGCGUCUUUCCACCCCACUGUGGAACAAGUGUGAUUCAGCCAAGUUGUGGUGCUCUCUUGGGUUUUCCCUGUUAAAAGAGAAUUUUGCAUUUUCGUUCUUUGGUUGGCAAAUCUCGGAUGGCAUAUGCAAUGCUGCUGUAAUUUUUUGGGUCUGAAGACUAAUGUUACAAAUUGUGAUUCCAAAUCAGCUUAUCCUUAAUUCACAAAUACCAAGAUCGUUAUUUAUCUAUGAGUACAUGUGAUUUAUAAAUUGACAUUCUCACUGAGUUUUUUCUGAUUGUGUUGGUUGUCAUAUCAAUUGGUGUUAUUCCUUUUUCACAGUUCAAAAAUCUCUUCCGUCUCAAUGGAUAAAUCCAUAUAUUGGCUACCUUGAAAGACACAAAUUGUUUUUACAUGUUUGAGUUUUAUCUCAGGUGGGUUAGAUGUAUGUUUGAUUUGUUAAACCUAUGCAUUGCAGUCUGUCUUAUUCAUGUGGAUUAAUGCAAAAACAUAAUAGUAUUGGCCUGACAGAUUGUUGUUCACUUGCAGGUUACAAAACUAAUAC